This 492-nucleotide ribosomal RNA is filed under the name uncultured bacterium. Its description in RNAcentral is "partial 16S ribosomal RNA". It matches the Rfam family "Bacterial small subunit ribosomal RNA", at positions 28 to 507 of the family's 1533-position model. The record is from RNAcentral.
GAUGAACGCUAGCUACAGGCUUAACACAUGCAGGUCGAGGGGAAACGGCAUUAAGUGCUUGCACUUUUUGGACGUCGACCGGCGCACGGGUGAGUAACGCGUAUCCAACCUUCCCAUGACUAAGGGAUAACCUGCCGAAAGGCAGACUAAUACCUUAUGGUCUUCACUGACGGCAUCAGAUGUGAAGUAAAGAUUUAUCGGUUAUGGAUGGGGAUGCGCCUGAUUAGCUUGUUGGCGGGGUAACGGCCCACCAAGGCAACGAUCAGUAGGGGUUCUGAGAGGAAGGUCCCCCACAUUGGAACUGCGACACAGUCCAAACUCCUACGGGAGGCAGCAGUGAGGAAUAUUGGUCACUGGGCGAGAGCCUGAACCAGCCAAGUAGGGUGCAGGAUGCCGGCCCUCUGGGUUGUAAACUGCUUUUGUAUGGGGAUAAAGUCAAUCACGUGUGAUUGUUUGCAGGUACCAUACGAAUAAGGACCGGCUAAUUCCGUG